This is a small nucleolar RNA of Rana temporaria (common frog), 105 nucleotides long. RefSeq annotates it as small nucleolar RNA SNORD46. The record is from RefSeq and is a predicted model, not a curated record. Lineage: Eukaryota; Metazoa; Chordata; Amphibia; Anura; Ranidae. The transcript has a single exon.
GGCACAUGUGAUGAAAUACUGACCUUAGGCUGGCAGAGUGGACCGUCUUGGUCAUCUCAGCUCUGCCGGCCAGUGAUAGGCUUGUCAUAGUUACUCUGAUGUGCC